RNAcentral lists this ribosomal RNA (571 nucleotides) under Xylota pseudoignava. RNAcentral's name for it is "eukaryotic LSU rRNA". The record is from RNAcentral. Lineage: Eukaryota; Metazoa; Arthropoda; Insecta; Diptera; Syrphidae.
AGUACGUGAAACUGCUUAGAGGUUAAGCCCGAUGAACCUGAAUAUCCGUUAUGGAAAAUUCAUCACUAAUACUAUAAUAUAUAUCAUAUUGUAGAAAUAGUGUGCAAUUUUUCCAUAUAAGGACAUUGUAAUCUGUUAAUGUAAUAAAUAUUUAUCAUAAGAUCUUAUACUUAAGUUUAUUUAAAUUAGUUAUUUUCGGAUUUCUAACAUAGAAUAAAUGUAUUUGAUUUGAUAAAUCAUUGACAGAUUUAAUUAUAUAUAGUGCUUAAAUUUUUAACGAAAUUUUACAAUGCUGAAUAAAUCUAUUGAUUUAUUUAUAUUGUAUGCGCUUAUAUGAUUAACAAUGCGAUAGAUUCAGGAUACCUUCGGGACCCGUCUUGAAACACGGACCAAGGAGUCUAACAUAUGUGCAAGUCAUUGGGUAUUUUUAAUAAAACCCAAUGGCGUAAUUAACUUAACUGUUUUAAAUGGGAUUAGUUUAUAUUUUAUUAUGAAAUAUGAAUUCAAUCCCGGGGCGUUCUAUACAGUUAUGCAUAAUAAUAUUUAUAUUAUUUAUGCCUCUAACUAGAGC